CUCUUCUCCCCUUUGUCCAUUUUCUGUCUCCUUCUCCCAGCUUUGUUCUUUCUCCUCUGCCUCCACAUCUCUCUAACAAACAGUCACACCAAGCUGACUGUGUGAUAGCAGUCUAUAGGUGUAUUAUACUGAAGGAGAUGUGUGUUCUGCCUUUCAGAUCUCCUCCUCCAGCAGUCUGCCCUCUAACCUCUCCUGUACAUCACACCUCCUCAAACAGACCAUGCAGGUACAGACACACUUCAACGACAACAACCACCCCAGCCACUGCCUGUUCACCCCGCUAUCAUCCAGAAGGCCAGGGUAUGUUUCUGGUUGGCCAGCCAGCAUCACAGGGCGCGGGGAAGCAGGGCGUGGCCAGUUCCACAGGUCACGUGGUGUCAUCCCCGACGACCGUCACCCAGCAGGCCAUCCUGGUCACGACGGGUCAGAUGGCUGCCAUCUUGGCUCAGAUCAGUACUGUCUGGACACAAAAUGGAGGAAAGGUUCCAGGAAGUGGAGGGUCCUGUCAGGCCAAAUCUGUAUCCUACUCUGUUCUGGAAGCAGCAACCAGGUGGCA
Molecule: non-coding RNA, 556 nt
Organism: Salvelinus sp. IW2-2015
Lineage: Eukaryota; Metazoa; Chordata; Actinopteri; Salmoniformes; Salmonidae
Source: RefSeq, a predicted model, not a curated record